GUGAAUCAUCGAAUUUUUGAACGCAACUUGCACUCUCUUCGGAGAGUAUGCCUGUUUGAGGGUCAGCCUAAAAAAAAUCUACAUAGUCGCUGUUUCGCGGUGACGUUCGUCGGAAAUUGGGUCAUCUUAAAUCUUUUUGGUUUUAAGCGACUUAAAAUUUUCUUUUUGGUUCCAUGAAGGUUUCUAAGUGUUAUUUCUUUACACGUUUAAUGGUCUCGAUUUUUAUUAGCUGUGACCAUCAUAUCGGAUCGC
This 252-nucleotide unclassified non-coding RNA is filed under the name Glomus sp. RNAcentral's name for it is "partial contains 5.8S ribosomal RNA and internal transcribed spacer 2". The stretch from base 1 to 65 matches the Rfam family "5.8S ribosomal RNA", at positions 84 to 154 of the family's 154-position model. Lineage: Eukaryota; Fungi; Glomeromycota; Glomeromycetes; Glomerales; Glomeraceae. The record is from RNAcentral.